This 331-nucleotide long non-coding RNA is filed under the name Homo sapiens (human). RNAcentral's name for it is "HSALNT0283904". Lineage: Eukaryota; Metazoa; Chordata; Mammalia; Primates; Hominidae. The record is from RNAcentral.
UUUUGUUUUUCAGCUCACUUCAAGGGUACCUGAAGCGAAUUGGCACCAAAGCAGCAGCUGUAUUGCCGCAGUUCUAGCUUCACCUUCACGAUGUUUCCCUUGGUCAAAAGCGCACUAAAUCGUCUCCAAGGUAGCAACACAAGUCGGAAUAGAAUGGAACCUGUCCCCUGUUGGCAGAGUUACCCCAAAGGAAUGGAGGAAUCAGUAAUCAUCCCAGCUGGUGUAAUAAUGAAUUGUUUAAAAAACAGCUCAUAAUUGAUGCCAAAUUAAAGCACUGUGUACCCAUUAAGAUAUGGCAUUAUUGAAGAAAUAAAGUACAUUUGAAACCUUC